Molecule: ribosomal RNA, 1233 nt
Filed under: Alburnus tarichi (tarek)
Lineage: Eukaryota; Metazoa; Chordata; Actinopteri; Cypriniformes; Leuciscidae
Description: partial large subunit ribosomal RNA
Rfam family: Bacterial large subunit ribosomal RNA
Source: RNAcentral
AGACCUUUAGUUUGAACCCCGAAACCAGGUGAGCUACCCCGAGACAGCCUAUAUUGAUUUAGGGCUAACCCGUCUCUGUGGCAAAAGAGUGGGAAGAGCUCCGGGUAGAAGUGACAGACCUACCGAACCUGGUGAUAGCUGGUUGCCUGAGAAGUGGAUAGAAGUUCAGCCUCGCACACCCCAAGCCAGAGAAUACACCGCUAAGGCACUCAGGGAAAUGUGGGAGAGUUAGUUAAAGGGGGUACAGCCCCUUUAACAAAGGAUACAACCUUUGCAGGAGGAUAAAGAUCAUAAUAUAUAAAACAUGCUGCUCUAGUGGGCCUAAAGGCAGCCACCUAAACAGAAAGCGUUAAAGCUCAGGCAGAAAGAAGUUUAUUAUACCGAUAAAAAAUCUUACUCCCCUAAUUAUAUCAGGCCAACCCAUGCCAACAUGGAAGAGAUUAUGCUAAAAUGAGUAACAAGAAGACCUGCUCUUCUCCCAGCACAAGUGUAAGCCAGAUCGGACUAGCCGCUGGAACUUAACGAACCCAACCCAAGAGGGUAGUGUGAAUAGUACAGACCCCAAGAAGAACUCACAACUAAACAAUCGUUAACCCCACACUGGAGUGCUAUUAUAAAGGAAAGACUAAAAGAGGGGGAAGGAACUCGGCAAACACAAGCCUCGCCUGUUUACCAAAAACAUCGCCUCCUGCAACUAUAUUGAGUAUAGGAGGUCCAGCCUGCCCAGUGACUACGGGUUCAACGGCCGCGGUAUUUUGACCGUGCAAAGGUAGCGCAAUCACUUGUCUCUUAAAUAGAGACCUGUAUGAAUGGCUAGACGAGGGCUUAACUGUCUCCCCCCUCCAGUCAGUGAAAUUGAUCUAUCCGUGCAGAAGCGGGUAUAAUUAUACAAGACGAGAAGACCCUUUGGAGCUUAAGGUACAAAAUCCAACCACGUUAAACGACCCCCUAAAGGGCAAGAACUUAGUGGCCAAUGAAGUUUUACCUUCGGUUGGGGCGACCACGGAGGAGAAAAAAGCCUCCGAGUGGACUGGGUUAAAACCCAAAGCUAAGAGAUACAUCUCUAAGCCGCAGAACAUCUGACCAAAAGUGAUCCGGCUAAAAAGCCGAUCAACGAACCAAGUUACCCUAGGGAUAACAGCGCAAUCCUCUCCCAGAGUCCAUAUCGACGAGGGGGUUUACGACCUCGAUGUUGGAUCAGGACAUCCUAAUGGUGCAGCCGCUAUUAAGGGU